GUUUACCUGUGUGACUGCGUACCUUUUGUAUAAUGGGUCAGCGACUUAUAUUCUGUAGCAAGGUUAACCGAAUAGGGGAGCCGGAGGGAAACCGAGUCUUAAUUGGGCGUUAAGUUGCAGGGUAUAGACCCGAAACCCGGUGAUCUAGCCAUGGGCAGGUUGAAGGUUGGGUAACACUAACUGGAGGACCGAACCGACUAAUGUUGAAAAAUUAGCGGAUGACCUGUGGCUGGGGGUGAAAGGCCAAUCAAACCGGGAGAUAGCUGGUUCUCCCCGAAAGCUAUUUAGGUAGCGCCUCGUGAAUUCAUCUCCGGGGGUAGAGCACUGUUUCGGCUAGGGGGCCAUCCCGGCUUACCAACCCGAUGCAAACUGCGAAUACCGGAGAAUGUUAUCACGGGAGACACACGGCGGGUGCUAACGUCCGUCGUGAAGAGGGAAACAACCCAGACCGCCAGCUAAGGUCCCAAAGUCAUGGUUAAGUGGGAAACGAUGUGGGAAGGCCCAGACAGCCAGGAUGUUGGCUUAGAAGCAGCCAUCAUUUAAAGAAAGCGUAAUAGCUCACUGGUCGAGUCGGCCUGCGCGGAAGAUGUAACGGGGCUAAACCAUG
RNAcentral lists this ribosomal RNA (607 nucleotides) under Salmonella enterica subsp. enterica serovar Chester. Its description in RNAcentral is "partial 23S ribosomal RNA". It matches the Rfam family "Bacterial large subunit ribosomal RNA", at positions 583 to 1191 of the family's 2925-position model. Lineage: Bacteria; Pseudomonadati; Pseudomonadota; Gammaproteobacteria; Enterobacterales; Enterobacteriaceae. The record is from RNAcentral.